Molecule: transfer RNA, 70 nt
Filed under: Meccus pallidipennis
Lineage: Eukaryota; Metazoa; Arthropoda; Insecta; Hemiptera; Reduviidae
Also listed under: 3 other names
Description: tRNA-Val
Source: RNAcentral
CAAAUUAUAACUUUUAGGGAGUAUUAUUAUUUACAUUAAUAAGUUAGUUGUGCAAUUCAACUUAAUUUGA